UAGGAUUUUAAGCAAUAAAGAGUUCAGUUAAGAUCUUGAAUUCGGCAAAUGUGGAGUGUUUUUCAUUUUAACGCUCUAACAUUUUGGUCCUUCGGCGUUCUCUGUGUUUUCCCCCACCCGUGUGGUAAGAGACAGAGUAUAUACAUAUAUAAACUAAAAGUGGUGCUCAAAUU
This is a long non-coding RNA of Drosophila mojavensis, 173 nucleotides long. RefSeq lists it as uncharacterized. The record is from RefSeq and is a predicted model, not a curated record. The transcript has 2 exons. NCBI's taxonomy places the organism in Eukaryota, Metazoa, Arthropoda, Insecta, Diptera, Drosophilidae.